Molecule: ribosomal RNA, 275 nt
Filed under: uncultured prokaryote
Description: partial 16S ribosomal RNA
Rfam family: Bacterial small subunit ribosomal RNA
Source: RNAcentral
CACAGGGGUUGCGAGCGUUGUCCGGAAUUACUAGGCGUAAAGGGCAGGCAGGCGGAUCCAUAAGUUUAUCGUUUAAGGCGUCGGCUUAACCGGCGUAGGGCGGUAGAUACUGUGGAUCUGGAAUGCGGUUGGGGAAGACAGAAUUCCUGGUGUAGCGGUGGAAUGCGCAGAGAUCAGGAGGAAUACCGAAGGCGAAGGCAGUCUUCCAAGCCGUUAUUGACGCUCAACUGCGAAGGUGUGGGUAUCAAACAGGAUUAGAUACCCUGGUAGUCCCU